This 492-nucleotide ribosomal RNA is filed under the name uncultured bacterium. Its description in RNAcentral is "partial 16S ribosomal RNA". It matches the Rfam family "Bacterial small subunit ribosomal RNA", at positions 29 to 507 of the family's 1533-position model. The record is from RNAcentral.
AGUGAACGCUGGCGGUAGGCCUAACACAUGCAAGUCGAACGGCAGCACAGUAAGAGCUUGCUCUUACGGGUGGCGAGUGGCGGACGGGUGAGGAAUACAUCGGAAUCUACUUUUUCGUGGGGGAUAACGUAGGGAAACUUACGCUAAUACCGCAUACGACCUACGGGUGAAAGCAGGGGAUCUUCGGACCUUGCGCGAUUGAAUGAGCCGAUGUCGGAUUAGCUAGUUGGCGGGGUAAAGGCCCACCAAGGCGACGAUCCGUAGCUGGUCUGAGAGGAUGAUCAGCCACACUGGAACUGAGACACGGUCCAGACUCCUACGGGAGGCACCAGUGGGGAAUAUUGGACAAUGGGCGCAAGCCUGAUCCAGCCAUACCGCGUGGGUGAAGAAGGCCUUCGGGUUGUAAAGCCCUUUUGUUGGGAAAGAAAAGCGGCAGGUUAAUACCCCGCUGUUCUGACGGUACCCAAAGAAUAAGCACCGGCUAACUUCGUG